RNAcentral lists this ribosomal RNA (924 nucleotides) under Triticum aestivum (bread wheat). RNAcentral describes it as "partial small subunit ribosomal RNA". Lineage: Eukaryota; Viridiplantae; Streptophyta; Magnoliopsida; Poales; Poaceae. The record is from RNAcentral.
AUGGAAGGAGCCAUCUCCAGCCGGCCAAACAAGAGGAUCGCCGUCGUCACCGGCGGGAACAAGGGGAUCGGCUUCGAGGUGUGCCGACAACUAGCCAGGGAUGGAGGAGUCACGGUCGUUCUGACAGCUCGGGACGAGACGAGGGGCGCGGGGGCGGCCGAGAAGCUCAGACCGCUGGGGGUCACCGACGUCGUCUUCCAUCAGCUGGACAUCACAGACGCUUCGAGCAUUGCUACGUUAGUCGAUUUCCUCGAGGCCCGUUUCGGGAAGCUGGACAUCCUGGUCAAUAAUGCCGGCGUUGGUGGGGUUGAGUACCCCCAAGAACUCGAUGCCAACGACGAGAAGUUCGCCGGCCUCGACUCCAACCAGAGACUUGAAUGGAUGGUGAAGAAUGUCCGGGAGCCCAUCGACGCCGCAAGGAAAGCCGUGGAGACAAACUACUAUGGCACCAAGCAUGUAAUCCAGGCCCUGCUGCCUCUGCUGCUGCAAUCUUCCUCCCAGGGAAGGAUAGUGAAUGUCUCCUCCGAAUAUGGACUGCUAAGGCUUAUUAGGAACGAGGAGGUGAGGCGGGACCUCAACGAUAUCCACAACCUGACAGAGGAGAGGCUAGACGAGGUGCUGGACAAGUUCUUGCAAGACUUCGAGGCCGAUGCGCUCGAGGCGCACGGGUGGCCCACGGGGUUCUCGGCAUACAAGGUGGCCAUGGCCGCCACCAACGCCUACACGAGGAUCUUGGCCAGGAGGCACCCCACGCUGCGCGUCAACUGCGCGCAUCCGGGCUAUGUCAAGACAGACAUGAGCAUGGGCUCAGGUGUCCUGACGCCCGAGGAGGGAGCACGCGGCGUGGUGAAGGUGGCGCUGCUGCUGGACGGUGGCCCAACCGGCAAGUACUUCACCAAAGGCGAGGAGGCGUCGUUCGUGUGA